UAGGGAAUAUUGCAAAAUGGGCGAAAGCCCGAUGCAGCAACGCCGCGUGGGCGAUGAAGGCCUUCGGGUCGUAAAGCCCUUUUUGAGGGGAUGAGGAAGGACAGUACCCUCAGAAUAAGCCUCGGCUAACUACGUGCCAGCAGCCGCGGUAAAACGUAGGAGGCGAGCGUUAUCCGGAUUUACUGGGCGUAAAGCGCGUGCAGGCGGAUUGGAGAGUUGGAUGUGAAAGCUCCCGGCUUAACUGGGAGAGGUCGUUCAAUACUUCCAGUCUUGAGUGCAGUAGAGGGAAGUGGAAGUCCGGGUGUAGUGGUGAAAUACGUAGAUAUCUGGAAGAACACCAGUUGCGAAGGCGGUCUCUUGGUCCGACACUGACGCUGAGGCGCGAAAGCGUGGGGAGCAAACA
RNAcentral lists this ribosomal RNA (403 nucleotides) under uncultured bacterium. RNAcentral describes it as "bacterial SSU rRNA". It matches the Rfam family "Bacterial small subunit ribosomal RNA", at positions 355 to 774 of the family's 1533-position model. The record is from RNAcentral.